CAGCAGCCGCGGUAAUACGAAGGGUGCAAGCGUUACUCGGAAUUACUAGGCGUAAAGCGUGCGUAGGUGGUGGUUUAAGUCCGUUGUGAAAGCCCUGGGCUCAACCUGGGAAUUGCAGUGGAUACUGGGUCACUAGAGUGUGGUAGAGGAUAGUGGAAUUUCCGGUGUAGCAGUGAAAUGCGUAGAGAUCGGAAGGAACAUCUGUGGCGAAGGCGACUAUCUGGGCCAACACUGACACUGAGGCACGAAAGCGUGGGGAGCAAACAGGAUUAGAUACCCCGGUAGUCCCUGUCUCUUAUAC
RNAcentral lists this ribosomal RNA (301 nucleotides) under uncultured bacterium. Its description in RNAcentral is "partial 16S ribosomal RNA". It matches the Rfam family "Bacterial small subunit ribosomal RNA", at positions 509 to 807 of the family's 1533-position model. The record is from RNAcentral.